Molecule: non-coding RNA, 214 nt
Organism: Pelobates cultripes (western spadefoot toad)
Lineage: Eukaryota; Metazoa; Chordata; Amphibia; Anura; Pelobatidae
Source: the annotation of a GenBank genome assembly
GUGGAGAUGUCUGCAAAGAUUCUGAUUUUCUGGUACUCUGUAGGUAGGUCUUUGCGUGCACGGCUUGCUUUGAGAACCACCUCCUUGGCAUGAUAAUAAUGCAUUUUCAGGACAAUGUCCCUUGGUGUGUCUGUGGGUAGAUAUUGGGGUUUUGCCACUAUGUGGAUAUGAUCCAUCAGCAAGACGUCUUGUGGUAAGUCAGGUACAAGAAGAC